AUCCUGUUGGGGAAGGGGGGUUUCCUGGGCCCCCGAGAGCACAGGGAUGCCCAGUUCUGGAGCUGCACCCAGGAGGCUUCAGCUGUGCCUGGGAGCACGGACUCCUGCCCUGCCCUGCUGACUCGGCAGGAGGUGUAGCUCCUGCCUGUUCCUGUCCCACCGUCUCCUCGGAGCACGCAACCCCAGCUGGACUUCCCUCACUGUAGCUGGCAGCUUUGCAGCCGUCACUCCAGAUGGGCUGCCACUGCCAUCAAUAUUUAAGAUAUGUUGCCUUGUUUGGGAAAUCCAUAAAGUCUUUGCUUUAUGGCAGAUGAAUAUAGUAAAGAAAAGGAGUUAAAUUUAAUUUUGUAGCGAUGUAGUCCAUAGUGACAACUGGAGAAAAUGCUGCAAGUUUGUUAGGAGGCUAAGUCUUACCGAAAGAGAACUGCCAUUGAUACCUAUAAGAUUUAGUCAUGAUCACAAAAUUAGGACUGGAUAGGGAGUACAAACAGCUGAGACAAAAACUAUGAUCGACAGGCACCAUAAUUUUCAAUCAAAUAGCCUCAAAUCCGUACCUUCAAGUGACAAUAGGGAUGUAUCGCAGGUAGAGAAAUUUAUGGUGUGAUUAGUGGAAGAUGUAUGUGUGUGUGUUUGUGUGUACUUAUAUAGUCUUAGCAUAAGUGUAGUUAUUGGCUUACAUAGAUGUGUUUAGUUAGUUCCUAUUAAAACUGCUAUGGAGAAUUUUGUAGAGGUUGAGAGAUCAAAGGGUCUGGAAAAAUGUGGCAUUAAUUCAAGCCAGAUGGGAUCAAUAAUUCUGGAGACAAAUAGUUACAAAUUAUUGUAACUAUUGCAAAGCCCAAAACCUUGAGAGACAGAAUUUUGCAGCUUUAGACCACUGGGAAUAAAAAUACGUUGUUUUGCAGUGUGUUGAUGGUUUAAAUUUUUGACACCUACUGCACUGUCAGUCAGUCUGAACUCUUCUGCCAACUGACAGACACAUCAUUCUAGAGAUGAAGCAAUGGAUUCAAAUAGUUUUUUUUUUUUUUUAACUUUUUUAGAUUAUCUUUCUUCUUUCCUCAAAUACAGAUCAAAACCUAGGGAGGUGACUUUUGUCUUCUUUACUUCGUUAACCUAAAACUGAGGAGAAUUUUAAGUUUGUAAAUUCUGAAUGUGAACAUUUCAGAGGCUGAAUUUCUAUAACUCACAAUCAUGCCGCAGGACAAUAACACAUAGCCAAUAACUUAGAUCUGUGUUCCUUUACUUAGAUUUGUUUGCUAAGGAAAACUAUGGAAACCAUUGUUUCUUCUGAAAGCCAAACUCAGCAUUUGAGAGCAUUUAGUAUUUAGCCGAGUGGUAGAGCAGCAAACUCAUUUUGAGUAAGAUAUUUAAAGAAGGAGCACCAUAUGUCAUCAGCUGGCAUAAUUUAACUUGCAAAUCACAUGUUGGCAAGGGCUAGUUGGCAGCAGAUGGCUGAACUCUUGUGUUUCAGACCCCAAACCUAUCCUUUCCCAUUUUGUGUUAGAAAUCUAAUUAAAAGCCUUUUUAGCACCAUCAGAUUAAUUAUAAACAAGCCUCUUUAUCUGGUAGAAAACUGACCUAUGUUUAUCAACCUUCCCCCCAAGUCGUCUAUUUUCCAAGAUAUUCUUCAAGAAGUACUUUUCUCCAAGCUCAUUUGUUCAAAUGAAACACACUUAAUCUUUGUAUCUUAAAUCCCAUGAGCUACUUCUUAGGCCAAAUAUGAGUCACUUAUUUACUAUUUAGGACAUAAACUGCUAUUAACUUAAAACUACUUGCUAAUUGAAUUAGUACCUUUAGUCAAUUUGGUGAAAUUUGUUGAUAGACAAUCUUCUUUCAGUUAUAUAUUUGCCAUUGAAAACAAGAUUUUAUAAAGCGUAAAGUCUUUUAUCAUAUGUUGGUACAUUAAAUAUCAGAAAAAAGGACAUGUGUUUCAUUAAUUUGCCUGUCACUCUACUAGUUUAUGAUAAGAGGACUGACAUUUCUGUACCAUCUGUUUGUAUAUGACAUAAAAAAGCUAUAUGUGCUUAGUUAUGGACCGAAGUAUUUAGACAGAGUAAAUCCACAAGCAUUUGCUCAACAUUUUGAUAAGUAUUAGGUUAUUUCUCACAAAGAAUUUUGUUAUUAUUAGAUAUUUUUUAUUUUAAAAUUUUGUUGUAAAUUGAAAAAUUAUAAUUAUACAUAUUUUAGUGGUAAACAGUGAUGUUAUGAUAUAUGUAUGCAACAUGAAAUGAUUAACUCAUUAAUCAUAGAUAAUUAGCAUAUCUAUCACUUCACAUACUUGUCUUUUUUUGGUGAAAACAUUUAAAUAUGUAAAAUUCAAGAAAAGCAUAAGCUUUUAUAAAAGGUGUGGGAAUAAGUGACUAUUUCUUUCCCAACAUACGGAUGAAUUGUACUAGUGGUUAAAAAAAGGAGAGUUAUCUUCUGGCUUUUGCUUAGGAUGUAAAAGGCUGGUCAGGGCAUCCUUUGUACCCUUAUAAUAUAGAAAAUAGAUCAUCUGUAAAUUCAUAGUUGUUCUUGGAUUCAUCAGAGAGCUGAGGUUUUGGGGCAGCCAACUAACCCAAAAUCUAAAGGAAGAUAUUCACCUGAAAGGAGACACAGACUAUGAGCAUUUGCUUUUUUGCAGCAGAUGCUGGACCCCAUAAAAUGUGUUCAGAAGAAUGCAACUACAAUUUUUGACAAAUUGCUAAAAACUGACUUUGUUUUAGCAUGAGUGCAUAGAAUCCCUGGGAGCUGCAGUCAGAAGGGGAAAUUGCAGGUAUGUGCAUGAUCACCACAGAGCUCACCAGGUACUUACAAGAGAGAUUAAGAGCAUGGUGGGAGUCCUGAGAAAGCCUUCAUCUUGAUGCAGGCACAGGAGUGGGGAACAAAAGAUGUUGUGGAAGAGGAAAAGGAAAAGGCAGAAAGCCUUACCAAGAACCUUCUCCCCUACUUCUCUACAGAGUAAAAGACAAGCUUCUGUGGAAAGGGCAACAAACACUAUCACCCUCAGACCAGAGGUGAACAUCCUUUGCAGCAAGGUGAAAGAGAUACAAAACACCCUCUGCCCUUGAAGGAGAGACAGGAGACGCCUCUGUUGGCUUCUCUGCUGCUUAACAGAAGUCAUGAGAUGCCUGGGUAACUGACAAAGAACAAAGGACAGUAAUAGCAGUAGCCAGAGUAUCAGCAUAAUUUCCUCAUGCCUGUUCCCCAGACCCUGACAUUCAGAGGACCAGGUGACUCCUAUAGACACGUAAGGGUAUGGAAACUCCCUGACUUAGUUUUCAGCAUUCCAAGAAUUGCCCCGCAAGAAAAAAUGGCCAACACGAUAUCUGCCCACCUCUCGGUGGUUUCAGAGUCUCUGUGAUCUUGGCACCUUAAGUUCUAGCAGCUUCAGCCAGUCUCUAAUGCCUCAAAUCUAAACUUUUUCUAUUUUCCCUGUAUUUCACGUGGGUUUUCUUUUCCUUGAGUUGCUUGCAAGAUGCUUCAACUUAGCCACACCUGGAAUAUAUUACAUAUUUGUUUCUUGUUUAUUUUCCAUCUUCUUCUUUAGGAACGUAAGCUCUGUGAAGUUCGGUUACUUUGGCUUCUUCUCUAAUAAAUCCCCAGUGUCUUGAAAAGCACGUGGCAAUUGGUAGGCACUUAAUAAUGUUAAGUAAAUAGACAAUAGACAGCUGAGUUCACAUAGGUAAAAAAUAAUAAAACCACAAUUUAAAAAUUUUGUUUUCUAUCUUGAUGCCUACUGACAUAUAUAGUAGUUUCUACAUUUACCCGUAUCUCUGUUGGUACAUGUUUUCUUAGUAAAAAGAGUGCAUAUUUUUAGCACAUUGGUUUAUUAGUGCAUAUUUAUGUCUUUAGCUAUAAUCAAGAGGAGAUGUAUGAAUGUUCUUUGAGUUUAGAAAGAGUUACUUUAUUCUCUAGGACCCCAAAAAGGUGUAAACAAACAGAUUAUUUUAUGCACACAUCUGAUUCUUUCCUUUCUUGUAGAGUCCUUUCAAGUCUCUGCAGCUUCAAGCUUGCUGACUUCUUUGAUCAAAAACUGCACUCAUUUUGGAACCAGUUAAAAGGUUGUGUUUUAUAGGAAGUCUUUUAAGAGUUUUUUUCCAGGUGACUCAGUUACUCUCAUCUCUGUGUCGGUUCUUCUGUUAUAGAACUUAUUAUAUUGCCUUUUAGUUAUUUGUUUACAUGUCUGGGUUUCCACCUAAUUACUGAGCUCGUUACAUAAAUAUCUUUGUAUCCUUAGUACCUAGCACACAGCCAGGCGCAUAGAAGUAUCUUAGAAAAUAUUGGCUGGAUGCAUUAUUAAGCUAAGAAUGUUGUCUAGCUUGGGAGUAUGUACAUUUUCAAAAGAUGACAACGAAAUGACACUUUCUAAUUUUGGGAUUUUAGUUAGCAAUUCUCUGUGUAUAAGAGCUAUUGGGAUAGCAGAGAGGCCUUCUCAGAACCACUGGACUCUAUUAUUCUGUUUAUUCCUGAACUUACAAACUUUAAAUAUCUUUUUAUAGCUGAUAAUUCUAUGAAUCAGCCUUAACAUUCAGAGGUGGGGCAAAUGGUGUCAUGUAGGUGGUGUAAUUUAAAGGAAACCAGUAAGAUUUUCCUUCCUCUAAAUUUCCUUUAUUUGUGUUUGAGAUUCCAUAUAUCUAUUGCCUUGUUUUAGCUCUGCAGUCAUGCUGUAGACUAAUCUUAAAACAGAAAUCUGUAGAGACAUGCAUUAAUUUAUUAACCAGAUCAUUUAUCUUCAUGGUAGGAGAAAUCUGGAGAGGCAGGAGCUCUGUAUACCUGGAGAAAGGUAGGAACGACAGGAAGGGAAGAGCAGAGAAAGCAAGGAUGAUAAUUAGGGACGCCAAAGACCAAAUGUGAGUUAUUGACACCUCUGUCAAAAUUUAAUCUUCCCUUGAGGUGGUAUUUUUAUAUAAUAUUGUCCUAACCUGCCAAAAGAGGUGAUGCAAAUAGUACUAUAAACAUCUUUGUGUUUAUUUAGUGGAAUAUUAUAUGUAUUAUAUUAUGAUCCAGAUGGGGAAAAGAUUAGGGUUUCAAAAAGCAUAUAAAGGCCACUUAGUAACAAAUUUACAGAGAUGAAAAUAUCCCAGUGUUUUCUGUUUCUCAUUUAACUAUUCAAAUCACAUAUGAAGAUAGCUGUUUUAUCCUAUUUUUGCUCUUUUUACCACCACAUGGUAAUAAUUAAAAGACCUUUACUAUAAAUCACCCAGUUGUCUAUAGAUUUUGGGUUGCUUUUCAUAGGUUGAUGACAAUGUAAGUGCCUUGGACUGUAAGUACUACCAUUUGGCAUAAUCUUGCUCUAUACUUGCAAAAUAAUAUUCUUUUAUUAUAGAAAUGGACUACUGUCUCUCACCAGCAAUCUUUAAAGGAUACAGAUACAGGUAAAAAGAUGGUGACUCAAGGCUUAGAUAAGUUGGCCACCACCCACAUUCAUAUCUAUAAGCCUUUUCUCUGUAUACGCUUAGAAUAUGGAGCUAUGUUUUCUAUGUAUGUGAUAUAAUUAAGUAACCCUAAGCUUCUAUGAAAAAAAUACAUUUUUGCUUUGAAGAAUUUAUCUAACAGGGGACUCAGCAUCUGGAGGGAGUAAGUUAUAACCAACCCAAGAAUUUUUUUGUCAGUUCUUCUGCCCUCAUCUCCCCCAAUAAUAUAUAGAACUUGAACCCAUUUCUAUCCUUACCCAGUCUCUUUGUCUUCCUGGUGGAACACUAAGGAGCUCACAGUUCUCACUUCUAGGAGACAAAAGUAUCCAGGGAUUUGAAGCACAGAAUCCAGACUUUGUCUCUUAAUAACUGUAAUCUUGGUCAAGAUAUCUAAUCCCCAGAUUCCAUCUGCUCAUCUGUUAAAGUGAGGUUUAAAAACAGUACCUACCUAUAGGGUUGUAGUGAGGGUUAAAUAAGAUAAGGCACACAAAGCACAAUGCUGGAAAACAACAAACAUUUCAUAAAUAAUAGUUGCUAUUAUUCUUAUAGUUAGUGUAAUAGUAUUCCCCCUUCAUGCCCCUCAUGUUUCCAUGAAGGGGAGAGAAUUACUACUUCACUCUCUAGAAAAAAUUACAGUGGGUUGGGGAGAGAACCUCUAUCCUUUCUCUUUUUAUUCCUACCCAUGGGUGGGAGAGUGAAUAAUUUUAUUUGGAACAUGGAAGUCCUAAUGUGUCAAUUUCAGCUCCUUAUCACUUCCCAGAUAUAAUUUGUCCACAGCACAUACAAUUCAGGUGUUCCUUUCACCAAGCCUGCCUCAAUAGACAAGGCUUGUGGUUAUCCAGAUAUGCCAAUGUCUGGUUUAGGAUAAAGCCUAAACAAGCCACUUUAACUACAGAUCUUGAGCUAUAUUCUGCAAUAAGCUUUAUCAGUAGUGUGAUCAUUUUAUAUCCAUGUGUCCAACUUUCCUUUCUUCCUAUUUGUUUUACAGUUGAAUGAGGAAGGUAAAAAGGGCUGUUUAUUUGCUUUCCUGUCCCCCCAAGUUUUUGUUCUCUAAAUCAUUGCUGUGUCCUUGGGUGCUCUUAACUGCAAUUAUCACCAUGGAAUUCCUUUAUAUUUUGAGCCUUAGGCAGUUUUCUCCAUCUGCUGGCUGUGCACUUGCCAGGCAGUGGCCAUUGCCCUUAUUGAACUGGUUCCACAAAUGCCUUUGGCCUGCUCCCAUCACAGCUGCUGAGCUGAUGUGAGAGAUGGUGCUGCCUUAGACACUUUCUCAGUGUUUGUUCCUGCCACUUCCACUGUUGCCAUGGCAGACAUAGGUGCCUUCUCCAGAAGCAGUUAGUAUCUUCUAGUCCUGUGCACCCUGUCUGGGCCUCUGGCGCUCUCCUCUGCAACAGAAGUAAGACACUUCUCCAAAUAUUUAGGACACGCAUUGUGUUGAAUCUACCCACAUUGUGAGAAACGUCACUUUUCUAUUCCCAUGCACAUUUCCCCCCCAUUGGAAGCACAGAUUUUCUCCUUAGAAGCACUCCCAUUAUAGAGUAUGCACCCUUAAUUCUUUCCUUUUGGGUAUCUUCUCCCCUAUAGUAAGAAGAAACCUUCCUUCUAGAUUUAGCUGACAGCUGCUGAAACGAAUACCCUGAUCAAGGAUUGUGAGGCCGGAAGCAAAGGCAUAUUGUCAGUCACGCAGGAAUUUUUUGGCCCAUGUUUUGUGCAAACAGCUGCUGCAUUUUCAAUUUUGAACUUGGCAGACCUUAUUUUAAAUCUGCUUUGCCAAAAACUGUGGCUCUUUUGCCUUAUUUUUCUUUUCUCCCAAUUGGAAAAAAAGAAAGGGUCAAAUAGAGAGCUAAAGUGGGGUCAAUAUGGAGUUGAAUCUCUAGCAAAUGCUACUAUGUAUUUAUCAGCAUCACAUAUUUUGGGGGUAUUUGUGUGGCCAGUCCAUUUAGGUAUGUAUGUAUGUAGGUAUGUGUGUAGGUAUGUAUGGAGCAAAUAAAUCAUAGGCAACCAUGAAAUUUAUGGUUUGUUAUGGUUUUCUAAUGUCUGAGGAGAUUUCUGGUCUAGUAAAAUGCAUAUAUAUAAGUUCCCUUGCAACCCUGUAAUGGUGUUUAUUUCUUUUCCUAAGAUUUCUUAUAUCAAAUAUUCUUCUUGAAAUCAUUCGCCACCAGUUGGUUUUAAAAAGUCAGGAAGAUAAUUUAUGACACAUGAGACUCAAAAGUCUCCAUUUUUUUGUUGUUGCUAUUCAAUGGUUCCUAAUUUCCUACAGAAUAAAUUUCUAACCUUUAUCUGGGUAUAAAGGGAAUGCCUUUCAAUACCCGGCAUGAAACUCUUUCCACCUUGCAUCCUGGAGCACCUCUUUCUUGCCUCCUCCUUAACUUCUUUGUCAUCUUCCUGUUUCCUGGUGCCCAUAAUUCUAACUGAGUGAUUUUUGGGGGGGAACAUGUCAUGCACUUUUAUGCCUCUGAGAAUUUCUUCAUGAUAUUUGCAUCAGAUUUUACUUUAAAUUUUUUUUUCUUUCCCUUGCCUGCUUGGAGAAUUCAUACUCAUCCUUCAGGACCCAACACAAACAAUACCUUUAUAAAGUCGUUAAGUUAAUUGUUCAAUAUUUCUUUGUUUGAAUGUUUGCCUUAUCAACUAGUGAGCUCUGCAAGGGUGAGAUAUAAACUUAUUCACCAAGUUCCUUCCCAGCACUUAUGCUUAUUGUAUUGGGGUGGAAAGAGGAAGAGGAAACAGACAUCUGUCUUCUUAUAUGACUGCCUGCUAUGGCAUCACUUUUCCUAUUUGUUAUUACCACAGGUACAAACUGUUGCCUAAGGAUACAGGGUGUGUGGCUGGUGGCCUCAACAGGCCCCACGGCUCAGGCACUCAGACCCAAGCUGGUCCCUCAGACUAAAUGGUUUUCCUGGGAACUCUGACUCUGGCCACAAGAUCAAGACUGACAAAUUUCCUUUCUCUGUUUAUGGAGGGAGACUUCACAACAUUCACUGAAAGAGGAGCAAAGGACCUGGUUUUUGCCAUGACUGGCUUUGGCCCCGUGAAUGAAUGUUUUUCUGGCAUUGGAAAGCGGAUAGCAAAGAGAGCAGAACCACAAAUGGGCUAUGAGGAAAUGUGUUCAAUGAAGAAAACAAAAUCUCUGACAAGAUCCAACAUAGGACAACAUCUCAGCAUCUUCUGUGAUUUGUGAACCCAAGUAAAGCACUUCUUAGAGUUAUCUGGCACAUUCGCAACUAAUAGCUUUCUGUGAAUAAAUACUGUGGCAACC
This 8646-nucleotide long non-coding RNA is filed under the name Homo sapiens (human). RNAcentral's name for it is "HSALNT0313444". Lineage: Eukaryota; Metazoa; Chordata; Mammalia; Primates; Hominidae. The record is from RNAcentral.